Anthonomus grandis grandis is the source of this 1256-nucleotide long non-coding RNA. RefSeq lists it as uncharacterized. Lineage: Eukaryota; Metazoa; Arthropoda; Insecta; Coleoptera; Curculionidae. The record is from RefSeq and is a predicted model, not a curated record. The transcript has 2 exons.
GCUAAGAGAUUUAUUUAUGAAAUAUAUUAUUGUUUUGACUAACGGUCUUGGCGACUGGCGGUUUAUUUCGGGUUAUGCAGCAGGUUUGAUUUUUCAGUGCCAAGGGGGCUUUUGGGCGAGAUAUUGGGUACAGGGGAUCCUUUAUCUAGUUUCGGGCUUUAGCGAGGUGCGCUUUAAUUCACGUCCAAUUGUUUUUAUUUAUUCUCAUAGGCGGGGAAUAAAUAUACUUACACUCACUUUACCGUUUGGUGAGAGAAGCGGUUUAAGCCUCUGUGGUGCGACCAACGUGUGGUCUCGCAACAAAGUACAGUGUUUUGUUUAGUAGUGUCGCCAAAAGUGUUUUGCGCGUCUGGGUUUAUCUGGUUUGGAUUUACCUGGGACUGUUUUGCUAGAAUCUCACAUUCAAAUAAUCAUUGCUUGAUUUUAAAUAUCUCUUUUAUCUUAUUAAAUAUCGUUUUAUUUAAUUUCAAUAACCGGACUUUUAUUUAACGUUCCUCCAACCCCUAGACAACGACAUAAAAACCUACAUGUUAUUAUAAUGGAAUUAGGAACCUUAUUUCGACCGAACGUUGAACGCACUUCAAGAAUAGUGGCAAUUAAACCAUUUUGACAAUAAUUUUUGACAAUCAGAAGGCGUUAUUCUACCGUUUAAUGCUCCAUGUUUACUACCUCAACUUUUAGGUUAAGGUAGCGCGCAGAAACAGCGAGUCUAAGCGACAUUAGCGUAAACCUAGCUUAAUAAACGUGAGGUACCCUUGACAGUGUCUAAACAAUGUAAGAACAAGUGAAAAUUGAAGUUGACACAGUGAUUAUGACCUGUAGAAAAGGUUAGGUUAGUAAAUGAAGAACUAUGAAUGUUAAGCAAGAAAACUCCGCCAAUUGCCUCGUUGCAGUGCUAUAAACUACCAAGUAAGCAGGCAAAAAAACGAAGUAAAAGUUGUCGGGGUUCAACUGUGUGGAAGAAAAGCCGAAUCUAUUUCAGACAGUCGGGGAAAUUUACAGAAACACAAGAUUUUAUUUCAUUUUUAUUACCACCCACAAUUAUAUAUAGAUAGAUCUCCUUGGACCCAAAGGAAAGUUUGGAGAGAAACGUUUUUGUAAUGUAUUCUGAUUGUUCUGAUCUAAAUAUUUUUUAGUCAAAAGCUGAACAGCUUUAAAAGCUUUGGUUAUGUUUUUGUAUUAUGUAUAUUAUAUGUUUGUAUGUUAUGCCCGCAAUCAACAGAUUAUUUAAUGUUAAAUAAAUAUUAUUUAAGAAA